GACAGAGGGUGCAAACGUUGCUCGGAAUCACUGGGCGUAAAGGGCGUGUAGGCGGGAAGGAAAGUCGGGCGUGAAAUCCCUGGGCUCAACCCAGGAACUGCACUCGAAACUUCUUUUCUUGAGUGCCGGAGAGGAAAGCGGAAUACCUGGUGUAGAGGUGAAAUUCGUAGAUAUCAGGUGGAACACCAGUGGCGAAGGCGGCUUUCUGGACGGUAACUGACGC
Molecule: ribosomal RNA, 223 nt
Filed under: uncultured bacterium
Lineage: Bacteria
Description: partial 16S ribosomal RNA
Rfam family: Bacterial small subunit ribosomal RNA
Source: RNAcentral